GUGCUCACUUUGACAGCACAUAUAUUAAAAUUGAAACGAUACAGAGAAGAUUAGCAUGACCCCUGUGCAAGGAUGACACGCAAAUUCAUGAAGCAUUCCAUAUUUUU
RNAcentral lists this small nuclear RNA (107 nucleotides) under Carlito syrichta (Philippine tarsier). Lineage: Eukaryota; Metazoa; Chordata; Mammalia; Primates; Tarsiidae. The record is from RNAcentral.